GCCGAGGUAGCCAAGCCUGGAUUAAGGCGCUGGUCUUGAAAACCAGUGUCCGCUGGACUCAUGAGUUCAAAUCUCAUCCUCGGCGCCA
RNAcentral lists this transfer RNA (88 nucleotides) under Candidatus Thorarchaeota archaeon. RNAcentral describes it as "tRNA-Ser". It matches the Rfam family "tRNA". From Rfam's summary of the family: Transfer RNA (tRNA) molecules are approximately 80 nucleotides in length. Their secondary structure includes four short double-helical elements and three loops (D, anti-codon, and T loops). The record is from RNAcentral. Lineage: Archaea; Promethearchaeati; Candidatus Thorarchaeota.